AGCAGCCGCGGUAAUUCCAGCCCCAAUAGCGUAUAUUAAAGUUGUUGCAGUUAAAAAGCUCGUAGUUGAAUUUCGGGAUUCUACCGUUGGUCGGACUAACAAGUCUGUACUGGUGUGUAGAAUUUCUACCUUCUGGGGAACUAUCAUGUUAUUAAUUUAGCGUGGUGGGAAACCAGGACCUUUACCUUGAAAAAAUUAGAGUGUUCAAAGCAGGCUUACGUCUGAAUACAUUAGCAUGGAAUAAUAGAAUAGGACGG
Molecule: ribosomal RNA, 257 nt
Filed under: uncultured Scutellospora
Lineage: Eukaryota; Fungi; Glomeromycota; Glomeromycetes; Diversisporales; Gigasporaceae
Description: partial 18S ribosomal RNA
Rfam family: Eukaryotic small subunit ribosomal RNA
Source: RNAcentral